AGUAGGACGCACAGUUUAUACCGUAGCUUGCUACACCAUAGACUGUGAGUUGCGAACGGGUGAGUAACGCGUAGGUAACCUGCCUAUUAGAGGGGGAUAACUAUUGGAAACGAUAGCUAAUACCGCAUAACAGUAUGUAACACAUGUUAGAUGCUUGAAAGAUGCAAUUGCAUCGCUAGUAGAUGGACCUGCGUUGUAUUAGCUAGUAGGUAGGGUAAAGGCCUACCUAGGCAACGAUACAUAGCCGACCUGAGAGGGUGAUCGGCCACACUGGGACUGAGACACGGCCCAGACUCCUACGGGAGGCAGCAGUAGGGAAUCUUCGGCAAUGGGGGGAACCCUGACCGAGCAACGCCGCGUGAGUGAAGAAGGUUUUCGGAUCGUAAAGCUCUGUUGUUAAGGAAGAACGAGUGUGAGAAUGGAAAGUUCAUGCUGUGACGGUACUUAACCAGAAAGGGACGGCUAACUACGUGCCAGCAGCCGCGGUAAUACGUAGGUCCCGAGCGUUGUCCGGAUUUAUUGGGCGUAAAGCGAGCGCAGGCGGUUAGAAAAGUCUGAAGUGAAAGGCAGUGGCUCAACCAUUGUAGGCUUUGGAAACUGUUUAACUUGAGUGCAGAA
Molecule: ribosomal RNA, 618 nt
Filed under: uncultured bacterium
Lineage: Bacteria
Description: bacterial SSU rRNA
Rfam family: Bacterial small subunit ribosomal RNA
Source: RNAcentral